Molecule: ribosomal RNA, 255 nt
Filed under: uncultured bacterium
Lineage: Bacteria
Description: partial 16S ribosomal RNA
Rfam family: Bacterial small subunit ribosomal RNA
Source: RNAcentral
UACGUAGGGGGCAAGCGUUGUCCGGAUUUAUUGGGCGUAAAGAGCGUGUAGGCGGCCAGGUAGGUCUGCUGUGAAAACUCGAGGCUUAACCUCGAGCUGUCGGCGGAAACCAUCUGGCUAGAGUCCGGAAGAGGAGAAUGGAAUUCCCGGUGUAGCGGUGAAAUGCGCAGAUAUCAGGAGGAACACCAGUGGCGAAGGCGGCUGCCUGGACCCGGCCUGACGCUGGAGGCGCGAAAGCGGUGGGGAGCGAUCCGG